Small nucleolar RNA from Nomascus leucogenys (northern white-cheeked gibbon), 127 nucleotides. It matches the Rfam family "Small nucleolar RNA SNORA15". Rfam says of the family: ACA15 is a member of the H/ACA class of snoRNA that guide the sites of modification of uridines to pseudouridines. The record is from Rfam. NCBI's taxonomy places the organism in Eukaryota, Metazoa, Chordata, Mammalia, Primates, Hylobatidae.
UCAAAGCUGAUUUUGAAACUUAAAAAAAAAAUCGCCAGGUACCAUGCAAAAGCAAUCUUCCCUUUAGAAUGACUGAUGGUAUGCUAAGGUUUUUCAUGGCAUAUUAUUAUUAAAGGUGAAUACAAAU